This 279-nucleotide ribosomal RNA is filed under the name uncultured bacterium. RNAcentral describes it as "partial 16S ribosomal RNA". It matches the Rfam family "Bacterial small subunit ribosomal RNA", at positions 506 to 784 of the family's 1533-position model. The record is from RNAcentral.
UGCCAGCAGCCGCGGUAAUACGGAGGGGGUUAGCGUUGUUCGGAAUUACUGGGCGUAAAGCGCGCGUAGGCGGACUAGUCAGUCAGAGGUGAAAUCCCAGGGCUCAACCCUGGAACUGCGUUUAAUACUAGCAAGCUAGAGAAAUAGAGAGGAAAGUGGAACUCCCAGUGUAGAGGUGAAAUUCGUAGAUAUUGGGAAGAACACCAGUGGCGAAAGCGACUUUCUGGCUAUUUUCUGACGCUGAGGAGCGAAAGCGUGGGGAGCAAACAGGAUUAGAUA